Molecule: ribosomal RNA, 253 nt
Filed under: uncultured bacterium
Lineage: Bacteria
Description: partial 16S ribosomal RNA
Rfam family: Bacterial small subunit ribosomal RNA
Source: RNAcentral
CACGUAGGGCGCAAGCGUUGUCCGGAAUGAUUGGGCGUAAAGCGUGUGUAGGCGGGUCUUUAAGUCAGGGGUGAAAUGCCAAGGCUCAACCUUGGAACUGCCUUUGAUACUGGAGAUCUUGAGUCCGGGAGAGGUGAGUGGAAUUGCGAGUGUAGAGGUGAAAUUCGUAGAUAUUCGCAAGAACACCAGUGGCGAAGGCGGCUCACUGGCCCGGAACCGACGCUGAGACGCGAAAGCGUGGGGAGCAAACAGG